UCCCUAGUGGCUCAGAUGGUAAAGCAUCUGCUUACAAUGCAGGAGACCCGGGUUUGAUCCCUGAGUAGGGAA
RNAcentral lists this transfer RNA (72 nucleotides) under Ovis aries (sheep). It matches the Rfam family "tRNA". From Rfam's summary of the family: Transfer RNA (tRNA) molecules are approximately 80 nucleotides in length. Their secondary structure includes four short double-helical elements and three loops (D, anti-codon, and T loops). Lineage: Eukaryota; Metazoa; Chordata; Mammalia; Artiodactyla; Bovidae. The record is from Rfam by way of RNAcentral.